UAUCUUCGGGGUAGGGUGAGAUUCCCGACCGGCAGUAUAGUCUGCGAGCCUUGCGGCAUGAUACGGUGCGAUUCCGUAACCGACGGUACAGUCCGGAUGUGAGAAGGUA
RNAcentral lists this non-coding RNA (109 nucleotides) under uncultured Ruminococcus sp. RNAcentral describes it as "FMN riboswitch (RFN element)". It matches the Rfam family "FMN riboswitch aptamer (RFN element)". Rfam says of the family: The RFN element is a highly conserved domain that is found frequently in the 5'-untranslated regions of prokaryotic mRNAs that encode for flavin mononucleotide (FMN) biosynthesis and transport proteins. This element is a metabolite-dependent riboswitch that directly binds FMN in the absence of proteins. Lineage: Bacteria; Bacillati; Bacillota; Clostridia; Eubacteriales; Oscillospiraceae. The record is from RNAcentral.